This is a long non-coding RNA of Passer domesticus (house sparrow), 951 nucleotides long. RefSeq lists it as uncharacterized. The transcript is spliced from 2 exons. NCBI's taxonomy places the organism in Eukaryota, Metazoa, Chordata, Aves, Passeriformes, Passeridae. The record is from RefSeq and is a predicted model, not a curated record.
UCUGUGUUUGUCCCGGCGCCUUCUCAGCAUUCAGAGUUACUCCUGCAGCGCAGUCAGGGCUUUGGGCAGCUUCCAGGUUGAAGGAGACCGGGUUGGUCAGAGCUCCAUCCAGGCUGGCCUUGAACGCUUCCAGGGAUGGGGCAUGCGCAACUUCUCUGGGCAAAUUGUGGCAGGGCCUCAGCACCCUCACAGCUCGGAACUUCCUCUUAAUAUGCUCCCUUCAGGUACUGGAAGGUCACCCCUGAGCCUUCUCUUCUCCAGGCUGAACAACCCCAAAUCUCUCAGUCUUUCCUUAAGGAAAGCUGUUCCAUCCCUCUGAUUGUCUUGGUGGCUUCUGGCCUCACUCCAACAGCUCCAUGUCCUUCCUCUGCUGGCCACCCCAGACCUGGACACAGCCCUGCAGGUGGGGUCACACCAGAGGGGGGGCAGAGGGGCAGAAUCCGCUCCCUCCCCUGCUGCCCAUAGGGCUUUGCAUGCAGCCUGGAACAGGGCUGCGGAACAGGGCUGCUUUCUGGGCUGCCAGAGCACAUUGCCACGUCAUGUCCAGCCUCAUACACCAGCACCCCCAAGUCCUUAAAUCAUUUUUGUGCAUGUUCUUCAGGAGUCACAUUACUGUGCAUGCCUCCACUAGUGUUUCAUUAGCUAUACAGAUGUAGAACAGCAAACUCUAUGACUUCCUUGGUCCAAGGAGGGUCAAGAUCAGGACUGAUGAACGUAUGAUGGCCAGGAAGGAGAACUGAUAAAUACUAGAAGUUUGAAAGUGAAAGGAUGGGUCCAAUGUGAUCUUACAAAAUGGAAGAAGCAGUUUUCAAAAUGAAAUUUAAAUGGACAUUGAUAAAAUUUUGAGAUGGAAGUGGUUUGAGCAAAUUAACCUGAUGAGGAGGAAUUGUUAUGAAAUUAUUGAGGUAAGUCAAUCAUAUGUAAAAAUAAAUAUAUUCUGAGACAAAUAUA